Molecule: transfer RNA, 72 nt
Filed under: Nuchequula nuchalis
Lineage: Eukaryota; Metazoa; Chordata; Actinopteri; Chaetodontiformes; Leiognathidae
Also listed under: 4 other names
Description: tRNA-Asp
Rfam family: tRNA
About the family: Transfer RNA (tRNA) molecules are approximately 80 nucleotides in length. Their secondary structure includes four short double-helical elements and three loops (D, anti-codon, and T loops). Further hydrogen bonds mediate the characteristic L-shaped molecular structure. tRNAs have two regions of fundamental functional importance: the anti-codon, which is responsible for specific mRNA codon recognition, and the 3' end, to which the tRNAs corresponding amino acid is attached (by aminoacyl-tRNA synthetases). tRNAs cope with the degeneracy of the genetic code in two manners: having more than one tRNA (with a specific anti-codon) for a particular amino acid; and 'wobble' base-pairing, i.e. permitting non-standard base-pairing at the 3rd anti-codon position.
Source: RNAcentral
GGGACAUUAGUAUAAUGAACACUACACUAUCUUGUCAAGAUAGAACUGUGAGUUAAAAUCCCACAUGCCCCA